Molecule: unclassified non-coding RNA, 343 nt
Organism: Saimiri boliviensis boliviensis (Bolivian squirrel monkey)
Lineage: Eukaryota; Metazoa; Chordata; Mammalia; Primates; Cebidae
Gene: 7SK
Rfam family: 7SK RNA
About the family: 7SK was discovered as an abundant small nuclear RNA in the mid-70s but a possible function has only recently been suggested. Two independent studies have found that 7SK RNA binds the CDK9/cyclin T complex (known as elongation factor P-TEFb).
Source: Ensembl
AGAUGUCAGGGUGAUCUGGCUAGGAAAUCUGUCAUUCCAUUGAUCGCCAGGGUUGAUUCAGCUGAUCUGGCUGGCUAGGCAAGCAUCCCCUUCCUCCCUCACCAUUCCAUGUGUGUUCCUCCUGAAGCUGCACGCUGAGUCAAAGAGAAUGGUUAUCCCCCAUAGAGCAGGACCAGUCUUGGAUCAAGGGUAUCUGAGCAGUUGCACUCCCCUGCAAAUGCCUCCAAACAAGCUCUCAGGAAAUCAUUUCCCCUUCUCCCCAGGGUUUUCUUACAGAAGCAUUACGGUUAUGGGUUUUGCCUCAAGGUCUAUGAUGUAGCUGGAAUUCAGUUUUGUGUAAGGA